UACGUAGGGGGCUAGCGUUGUCCGGAAUCAUUGGGCGUAAAGCGCGUGUAGGCGGUUCGGUAAGUCCGCUGUGAAAGUCGGGGGCUCAACCCUCGGAUGCCGGUGGAUACUGUCGGACUAGAGUGCGGAAGAGGCGAGUGGAAUUCCUGGUGUAGCGGUGAAAUGCGCAGAUAUCAGGAGGAACACCGGUGGCGAAGGCGGGUCUCUGGGCAACAACUGACGCUGAGGAGCGAAAGCGUGGGGAGCGAACAGG
This 253-nucleotide ribosomal RNA is filed under the name uncultured bacterium. RNAcentral's name for it is "partial 16S ribosomal RNA". It matches the Rfam family "Bacterial small subunit ribosomal RNA", at positions 524 to 776 of the family's 1533-position model. The record is from RNAcentral.